AUUGAACGCUGGCGGCAUGCUUUACACAUGCAAGUCGAACGGUAACAGGUUAAGCUGACGAGUGGCGAACGGGUGAGUAAUGCAUCGGAACGUGCCCGGUCGUGGGGGAUAACACUUCGAAGGAAGUGCUAAUACCGCAUACGAUCUGAGGAUGAAAGCGGGGGACCGUAAGGCCUCGCGCGAUCGGAGCGGCCGGUGUCAGAUUAGGUAGUUGGUGGGGUAAAGGCUCACCAAGCCGACGAUCUGUAGCUGGUCUGAGAGGACGACCAGCCACACUGGGACUGAGACACGGCCCAGACUCCUACGGGAGGCAGCAGUGGGGAAUUUUGGACAAUGGGCGCAAGCCUGAUCCAGCAAUGCCGCGUGCAGGAAGAAGGCCUUCGGGCUGUAAACUGCUUUUGUACGGAGCGAAAAGGCUCUCUCUAAUACAGGGGGCUCAUGACGGUACCGUAAGAAUAAGCACCGGCUAACUACGUGCCAGCAGCCGCAGUAA
Molecule: ribosomal RNA, 493 nt
Filed under: uncultured bacterium
Lineage: Bacteria
Description: partial 16S ribosomal RNA
Rfam family: Bacterial small subunit ribosomal RNA
Source: RNAcentral